UUUUCAUGCUGAGGAAAGGGAGGAGGAGAGCGUGGAGGAGCGGGGGUCACAAGCCAGCAGAGCACAGCCUGAAGCCAGGCCACGACUUGGUGAAUAACGUCAGGCUCACACAUCUGACCUCCGGAAUGCUGAGGGCCCAGAGGACAGGCCUGGGAUUCUGCGGGUCUCCCUCUGAAAUCACCGAGGCUGCUUCGCUGAGAAAAGUCUUGGGCUUUCUAGGCUCUCCUGGCCCAACUUGGGUGGUGACGUGUGAAAUGGGCAUUCUUUGCCCACUGAUGAAGACCAGGUCUCCAUAGACACAGGAUCAAAAGAAGAAAGGCUCCAGAGUCUGAUGGCUCCGGAGUGGAUUCCUGGCUGGGUGACACUGGCCAGUACCUUGGCUUCCUCCUCCGUGCAUGAACAUCCCAUUCUGCAGGGUCUGGAAGGAGGAUAACCUGCAGAAUGCCCGGCAGCUGCUGGACGUCCAAUCAAUGCUCCUGACCACCUCCCAAGUCAGCGAACAAGAGGUUUACUCUGCCAGGGCUAGGACCUGGGCGCGUUGGAGGUUUUGCUGCCUGUUAGUCAAAGAAAGCUGUCAAUUAGGAACUGGAAGAUGCCGCUUGCAGGGACCCAGUGACGGUCUGUCCUGUGAAGAGCCUCCCCAGCUUAUCCUUGAGCAAGUAAGCCCACGGGUCACCUACUGUGUUCACUUCCACAGAAAGAAUUUUAUAAACACUUACCCCCAUUCUGGAAUUUGGUGUUUUGACACUUGGAGCUUACUAAUGGUUGUUUCCAGUUUGGUGCUAUUAUGAAUAAUGCCGCUACUGACUCACACAUCUUUGCGUAGACGUAUGUUUUCGUUUCUCCAUGGGGGAUACCUAGGAGUGGAAUUGCUGGAUCACAUGGAUUUCCUACAUAUAGAAUCAUGUCAUCUGAGAAUGAAGACAGUGUACUUCUUCCUUUCCAGUCUGGGUGCCUCUUGCCUGUUUCUUGUUCCUGUGAGGCUUGUUCCUGUUUGGGGGUGUCUGCCUGAAUUGUUCUUCCCCCAGCUCUUCCAUGGCUCACUCCCUCACCUCCUUAGGUCUUUACUCAAAUGUCAACUUCUUGCCAAGGCCUUCUUGGAACUCCCUACUUAAAUUGAACCCCUCCUCACACCCCACACCUCUAACCCUUUUUCUUGCUUUGUAUUUCUUCACAGCACUGACCAUCAUAGACUUUAUACCUCUCCCUUCUCAAGAUGGUCCUGAGAGUUCCAAGAACAAAUAAUAUGCCUGGAAGGAGGGCCUGAGCUGCUGCUUAGCUAGGGUUGGAUGAAGGAGGGUCCAGAAGGGGCAUUCUCUGGGGCACUCAGACCCCUGCUCCACCCUUCCAGGCUGGGAGGGGAAGGGUCUCCAUGCAAAUGGGAACACAUUCAGGAGGCAGUAGGUGGGGGUCCCCGGGGAAGCUCAUAUACAUCCAUGCCUGCCUAAACAGCCCAGCCACACCCAGACAGGGCCCAACCUCGACAAGGGGUCAACCUGAAGCUUGUUUGCACUUCAUUUCACCUGAAUAGAAAAUGCUGGCACUCAGGAGAUGGGGAGGACAGAGGUAGGCUCCCAGUGACUCCCCCAGCUGCCGACCCGCUAGAGGUGAUCCUGCCUUUGGAGACUCCACUCUGCCCCUGGCAACCAGGAAAAUACAUUCCCUAUUUGCAUGGGGUUAAGGAACGGGAUCUCUUUACACCCCCUCCCUUAUCUGGAGCUUGUCCCAGAAACUUGACUGGGGUUAGGCGUGUGUGUGUGCGGGGGUGAUCCCUGAGCCCAGUCUGAGCAUAGGUGGGUGGAGGCUGCAGUGGAAAGAGCCUCCAGCUGGAUGUCAGACAAUUCUGGGUCCCUGUCCUGCUCUGUGUCUUUGCAGCAGAAUGAACUUAAGGCCUAAGAGUCAAGCCGUGGGUGGGUUUCCACCUCCAUCAAAUAGGCCUGAGGAAGCCCCCUCACCCUGGGUGGGAGGUUUGCUCCCCUUCUCUGGGUCUCCAUUUCUUCAUCUGUACACCCAGUGUAAGAAUACAUCCUCCGUACAGCCACUAUGGAGGACAGUAUGGAAGUUCCUUAAAAAACUAAAAAUAGAGCUACCAUACGACCCAGCAAUCCCACUACUGGGCAUAUACCCUGAGAAAACCAUAAUUCAAAAACAGUCAUGUACCACAAUGUUCAUUGCAGGUCUAUUUACAAUAGCCAGGACAUGGAAGCAACCUAAGUGUUCAUUGACAGAUGAAUGGAUAAAGAAGAUGUGAUAUAUAUACAUUGGAAUAUUACUCAGUCGUAAAAAGAAAUGAAAUUGAGUUAUUUGUAGUGAGGUGGAUGGACCUAGAGUCUGUCAUACAGAGUGAAGUAAGUCAGAAGGAGAAAAACAAAUACCAUAUGCUAACACAUAUAUAUGGAAUCUAAGAAAAAAAAAUGUCAU
This is a long non-coding RNA of Physeter macrocephalus (sperm whale), 2421 nucleotides long. RefSeq lists it as uncharacterized. The record is from RefSeq and is a predicted model, not a curated record. NCBI's taxonomy places the organism in Eukaryota, Metazoa, Chordata, Mammalia, Artiodactyla, Physeteridae. The transcript has 4 exons.